Molecule: ribosomal RNA, 2067 nt
Filed under: Sigmella digitalis
Lineage: Eukaryota; Metazoa; Arthropoda; Insecta; Blattodea; Blattellidae
Description: SSU rRNA
Rfam family: Eukaryotic small subunit ribosomal RNA
Source: RNAcentral
CAUAUGCUCGUCUCAAAGAUUAAGCCAUGCAAGUCUCAGUGCAAGCAAUGUCAAAGUGAAACCGCAAACGGCUCAUUAUAUCAGCUUUGGUUCCUUGGAUCUUGGUCUACGGAGUUGAUUCCCCGUAGGUGGACAACUGUGGCAAUUCUAGAGCUAAUACAUGCAACCAAGUUCCCAGCCGGCGACGGCGGGGAACGCUCUUAUUAGAUCAAAACCGACGGGAUGUCCCUUCCCACUGUCAGGCUUUCGUCUGGCAGUCCUAAAGGAGGGGCUCCGGUUGUUCUUGGUGACUCUGAAUAGACUCGUAGCGGAUCGCGAGGGACCACACAGCAUAAAUUUGUUUGUUACUGCCAUCGACUUGUCUUACAAGUGUCUGCCUUAUCAACUGUCGAUGGUAGGUAACAAGCUUACCAUGGUUAUCACGGGUGACGGGGAAUCAGGGUUCGAUUCCGGAGAGGGAGCCUGAGAAAUUGCUACCACAUCUAAGGAAGGCAGCAGGCGCGCAACUUACCCACUCCCAGCCCGGGGAGGUAGUGACGAAAAAUAACGAUGCGGGACUCAUCCGAGGCCCCGUAAUCGGAAUGGGUACACUUUAAACCCUUUAACAAGUACCAAUUGAAGGGCAAGCCUGGUGCCAGCAGCUGCGGUAACUCCAGCUUCAAUAGCGUAUAUUAAAGUUGUUGCGGUUAAAAAGCUCGUAGUCGGCAGUGUGUCCCGCUCCGCCGGUUCACAGCUCGACUGUGUCUAACUGGUCGUGGAAGUGCGGACGUCCUGCCGGCGGCCCGACGGCGCGUUGUUGUAGAGUCGUAUGGAUUCGGUAUGUGCGGCGCCUUGUGUAGGUGAACGGGUGCGCGGGUCAAACCGCGUUCUCUUCUCUCUGCGCUCGGACGUCCGUACACACCACCGUCGUCUCUUUAGCGCGACCGAAAGGCCCCACAAAUUUAAAUGCUGCCCUAACGCGGUGCUCUUAACCGAGUGUCUCGGAGGGCCGGCAAGUUUACUUUGAACAAAUCAAAGUGCUCAACGCAGGCAAACAUACGCUCGAAUGAAUUUUGCAUGGAAUAAUGGAAUAGGAUCUCGGUCCUAGUUUGUUGGUUUUCUUUUUGGAAUGUCCGAGAUAAUGAUCAAUAGGGACGGACGGGGGCAUUCGUAUUGCGACGUUAGAGGUGAAAUUCUUGGAUCGUCGCACGACGUUCCAAAGCGAAAGCAUUUGCCAAGGAUGUUUUCACUGAUCAAGAACGAAAGUUAGAGGUUCGAAGGCGAUCAGAUACCGCCCUAGUUCUAACCAUAAACUAUGCCAGCCAGCAAUCCGCCGGAGUUCCUCCGAUGACUCGGCGGGCAGCCCCCGGGAAACCGAAGCCUUUGGGUUCCGGGGGAAGUAUGGUUGCAAAGCUGAAACUUAAAGGAAUUGACGGAAGGGUACCACCAGGAGUGGAACCUGCGGCUUAAUUUGACUCAACACGGGAAAACUCACCAGGCCCAGACACCGGGAGGAUUGACAGAUUGAGAGCUCUUUCUUGAUUCGGUGGGUGGUGGUGCAUGGCCGUUCUUAGUUGGUGGAGCGAUUUGUCUGGUUAAUUCCGAUAACGAACGAGACUCUAGCCUACUAACUAGUCGGAAUUUUCCUGGCAUCCUUCGCCGCUGCCAGCGACGAACAUACUCUUCUUAGAGGGACAGGCGGUCUUGAGCCGCACGAGAUUGAGCAAUAACAGGUCUGGUAUGCCCUUAGAUGUUCUGGGCCGCACGCGCGUUACACUGAAGGAGUCAGCGUGUUGCUUACCUUGUCCGAGAGGACCGGGUAACCCGCUCAAACUCCUUCGUGCUUGGGAUUGGGGCUUGCAAUUGUUCCCCAUGAACGAGGAAUUCCCAGUAAGCGCGAGUCAUAAGCUCGCGUUGACUACGUCCCUGCCCUUUGUACACACCGCCCGUCGCUACUACCGAUUGAAUGAGUUAGUGAGGACUUCGGACUCGCAUGGGGGCGGAAUUUGGUUCUAUGGAUCUGUCCGCACACCCGUUGUGAGGAAGUUGGCCGAACUUGCUUAUUUAGAGGAAGUAAAAGUCGUAACA